This 83-nucleotide small RNA is filed under the name Marmota monax (woodchuck). The record is from RNAcentral. Lineage: Eukaryota; Metazoa; Chordata; Mammalia; Rodentia; Sciuridae.
GCUGGGCUUGGUGGCCCAUGCCUAUAAUCCCAGUGGCUUGGGAGGCUGAGGCAGGAGGAUCUCAAGUACAAAACCAGCCUCAG